UACAGAGGGGGCAAGCGUUGUUCGGAAUUACUGGGCGUAAAGGGCGCGUAGGCGGCCUGCUAAGUCGAACGUGAAAUCCCCGAGCUCAACUCGGGAACUGCGUCCGAUACUGGCAGGCUUGAAUCCGGGAGAGGGAUGCGGAAUUCCAGGUGUAGCGGUGAAAUGCGUAGAUAUCUGGAGGAACACCGGUGGCGAAGGCGGCACCCUGGACCGGUAUUGACGCUGAGGCGCGAAAGCCAGGGGAGCAAACGGG
Molecule: ribosomal RNA, 253 nt
Filed under: uncultured bacterium
Lineage: Bacteria
Description: partial 16S ribosomal RNA
Rfam family: Bacterial small subunit ribosomal RNA
Source: RNAcentral